This 253-nucleotide ribosomal RNA is filed under the name uncultured bacterium. RNAcentral's name for it is "partial 16S ribosomal RNA". It matches the Rfam family "Bacterial small subunit ribosomal RNA", at positions 524 to 776 of the family's 1533-position model. The record is from RNAcentral.
UACGUAGGGUGCAAGCGUUAUCCGGAUUCACUGGGUUUAAAGGGUGCGUAGGUGGGUCUGUAAGUCAGUGGUGAAAUCUCCGGGCUUAACCUGGAAACUGCCAUUGAUACUAUAGGUCUUGAAUUUUCUGGAGGUAAGCGGAAUAUGUCAUGUAGCGGUGAAAUGCUUAGAUAUGACAUAGAACACCAAUUGCGAAGGCAGCUUACUACGGGAGUAUUGACACUGAGGCACGAAAGCGUGGGGAUCAAACAGA